This 353-nucleotide ribosomal RNA is filed under the name uncultured bacterium. RNAcentral describes it as "bacterial SSU rRNA". It matches the Rfam family "Bacterial small subunit ribosomal RNA", at positions 574 to 933 of the family's 1533-position model. The record is from RNAcentral.
GACGGAACUGCAAUUUGAUNGAAAGCCCGGGNUCNACCGCGGANUGCAUCGGAUACUGUGGAUUUGGAGGNCNGAGGGGCAAGCGGAAUUCCUGUGUAGCGGUGAAUGCGUAGAUAUCAGGAGGAACACCGGCGGCGAAGGCGGCUUGCUGGACGGCAACUGACGUUGAGGCUCGAAAGCGUGGGGAGCAAACAGGAUUAGAUACCCUGGUAGUCCAUGCCGUAAACGAUGUCUACUAGCCGUUGGGGCCUUUGAGGCUUUAGUGGCGCAGCUAACGCGAUAAGUAGACCGCCUGGGGAGUACGGUCGCAAGACUAAAACUCAAAUGAAUUGACGGGGGCCCGCACAAGCGGU